This 497-nucleotide ribosomal RNA is filed under the name uncultured bacterium. RNAcentral's name for it is "bacterial SSU rRNA". It matches the Rfam family "Bacterial small subunit ribosomal RNA", at positions 28 to 524 of the family's 1533-position model. The record is from RNAcentral.
GACGAACGCUGGCGGCGUGCCUAACACAUGCAAGUCAGGGAGAAAAGGGUAGCAAUAUCCUGAGUAAACCGGCGAACGGGUGAGUAACACGUAGGCAACUUACCUUGAGAACGGGAAUAACCCCGGGAAACCGGGGCUAAUACCCGAUGUUAUUCCGUUGUAGCAUUGCAAUGGAAUAAAAAGCCCGCAAGGGCGUCACAAGAUUGGCCUGCGUCCCAUUAGAUAGUUGGCGGGGUAACAGCCCACCAAGUCGACGAUGGGUAGCUGGUCUGAGAGGACGAUCAGCCACACUGGAACUGAGACACGGUCCAGACUUCUACGGAAGGCAGCAGUGAGGAAUAUUGCUCAAUGGGCGAAAGCCUGAAGCAGCGACGCCGCGUGAAGGAUGAAAUCCGUUAGGAUGUAAACUUCUUUGCGGGGAAGAUGUGCGCCUUGGGCGCAUUGACGGUACCCCGUGAAUAAGCACCGGCCAACUACGUGCCAGCCGCCGCCGUAAG